Molecule: long non-coding RNA, 690 nt
Organism: Brassica napus (rape)
Lineage: Eukaryota; Viridiplantae; Streptophyta; Magnoliopsida; Brassicales; Brassicaceae
Exons: 3
Source: RefSeq, a predicted model, not a curated record
AUUAUCUCUCUUGGUUGGCUGAAAAGUGAGAACCCAUUGUUGCUUCCAUGGUUAUUGCAUUAGAGGCCACCAAGGUUGAAACCCUUACUAUGGGUAAGAUCUAUGCCUUCCUCAAACAGGAACCCAUUCAGGCAGCCUUUUUACCUGCAUAGCUCUUUUAACCAUGGAUCCCCAUCAUGAGAUGGCAACUCCACAGUGUAUGUUGGAUACAAUUGGCCAACCCCACAAUGUCAAAGUGAAGGUCUCUCACUACAACUUCACAGAAAAAAGGCAUACAAUAUCUGUCACAAAGUUUGUCUGUCUUCCAGUCUUGCCAGAUGUAAGAACCACCUAUGGAGAUCAGUCACCACAAACAUUGAAGGUGAGCAACUUCCCGGGCCAAUUGUAACAUGUAACUCCGCAUUUGGUGGAACUUUCUACGCUGGGUCUUCUGCUGGUGGAAGUGCUCCAACUAAUGACAGUGAAGUGGAACAGGAAGCCAAGCAUCCAAGAUUUAGUAGCUAAUACCUGUCAAAUCCCAGCUCCAUGUUGCUUUAGUUCUCCCAUUAUCUAUGUCGCUUAAGUUUAUGUACUUCUCUAGGAUUUCCUUCUGCAUAUCUGAACAUAAUUUUUAGAUUUAGUUUUUUUACCCUUUACUUUGGGUUGAACUUAUUUUCCUCAAAGCAAAGUUUCUCCAGAUAAUGUAAGCAU